GUGCUCACUUUGGCAGCUCAUAUAUUAAAAUUGGAAUGUUACAGAGAAGACAGCAUGGCCUCUGUAUAAAGAUGCAAAAUCGUGAAGCUUUUCUUUUUUAA
Molecule: small nuclear RNA, 101 nt
Filed under: Saimiri boliviensis boliviensis (Bolivian squirrel monkey)
Lineage: Eukaryota; Metazoa; Chordata; Mammalia; Primates; Cebidae
Source: RNAcentral